CCUACGGGUGGCAGCAGUAGGGAAUUUUGCGCAAUGGGCGAAAGCCUGACGCAGCAACGCCGCGUGAUUGAUUAAGCCCUUCGGGGUGUAAAGAUCUGUCAGUGGGGACGCAACUUGACGGUACCCACCGAGGACGCACCGGCUCACGCCGUGCCAGCAGCCGCGGUAAUACGGAGGGUGCAAGCGUUGUCCGGAAUCAUUGGGCGUAAAGAGUUCGUAGGUGGCAUAGGAAGUCUGGUGUUAAAGGCAGAGGCUCAACUUCUGUUCGGCACUGGAUACUGGUAAGCUUGAAUGCGGGAGAGGUAAAGGGAAUUCCUGGUGUAGCGGUGAAAUGCGUAGAUAUCAGGAGGAACAGCGGUGGCGUAAGCGGUGUACUGGGCCUUAAUUGACACUGAGGAACGAAAGCCGGGGUAGCAAAUGGGAUUAGAUACCCGUGUAGUC
RNAcentral lists this ribosomal RNA (441 nucleotides) under uncultured bacterium. Its description in RNAcentral is "partial 16S ribosomal RNA". It matches the Rfam family "Bacterial small subunit ribosomal RNA", at positions 338 to 795 of the family's 1533-position model. The record is from RNAcentral.